AGGCUCAGGCUCAGGCUCAGGCUCAGGCUCAGGUGCAGGCACAGGCGCAAUUGCAAGGGCAAGCCCAGGCACAGGUGCACCGAUACGGACCAAUGGGAGCGGUGGCUGCGUUAUCCAAGGAAAGAACUGGAUAUGGGGGCGGGGUGGAAAAUUGGUAGCCAUGAACUCAUGAAAUUGCCUUCUGGUGAUUUCGUCCUCCAGAUCAUAACGAUGGCGCUCGAGGUGGUGGCCUACGAGACCGUGAUUAUCCAUGAAGACUUGAUCACAGAGUCGACAUGCGACUGGGGCGUCGAUACACGCCUUGUCCUCAUUGUUGAUCUUGUUCCAGCCAGAUCCAUCCAUGAUCGCUACUCAACAAUUUAAACACACAAAUGCUUUUUGCUUUAGCACAAACCUCCCUUGGUC
RNAcentral lists this long non-coding RNA (405 nucleotides) under Carica papaya (papaya). Its description in RNAcentral is "long non-coding RNA (CPAP_LNC009121)". Lineage: Eukaryota; Viridiplantae; Streptophyta; Magnoliopsida; Brassicales; Caricaceae. The record is from RNAcentral.